GUCCCUGUAGUGCAAUGGAUAGCGCGUUGGACUUCUAAUCCAAAGGUCCUGGGUUAAAAUCCCACCUGGGAUG
This 73-nucleotide transfer RNA is filed under the name Trichonephila clavipes. It matches the Rfam family "tRNA". Rfam says of the family: Transfer RNA (tRNA) molecules are approximately 80 nucleotides in length. Their secondary structure includes four short double-helical elements and three loops (D, anti-codon, and T loops). The record is from Rfam by way of RNAcentral. Lineage: Eukaryota; Metazoa; Arthropoda; Arachnida; Araneae; Nephilidae.